GAUGAACGCUGGCGGCGUGCCUAAUACGUGCAAGUCGAGCGAACAGACGAGGAGCCUGCUCCUCUGACGUUAGCGGCGGACGGGUGAGUAACAUGUGGAUAACCUACCUAUAAGACUGGGAUAACUUCGGGAAACCGGAGCUAAUACCGGAUAAUAUAUUGAACCGCAUGGUUCAAUAGUGAAAGACGGUUUUGCUGUCACUUAUAGAUGGAUCCGCGCCGCAUUAGCUAGUUGGUAAGGUAACGGCUUACCAAGGCAACGAUGCGUAGCCGACCUGAGAGGGUGAUCGGCCACACUGGAACUGAGACACGGUCCAGACUCCUACGGGAGGCAGCAGUAGGGAAUCUUCCGCAAUGGGCGAAAGCCUGACGGAGCAACGCCGCGUGAGUGAUGAAGGUCUUCGGAUCGUAAAACUCUGUUAUUAGGGAAGAACAAAUGUGUAAGUAACUAUGCACGUCUUGACGGUACCUAAUCAGAAAGCCACGGCUAACUACGUG
This 497-nucleotide ribosomal RNA is filed under the name uncultured bacterium. RNAcentral describes it as "partial 16S ribosomal RNA". It matches the Rfam family "Bacterial small subunit ribosomal RNA", at positions 28 to 507 of the family's 1533-position model. The record is from RNAcentral.